GCAUUGGUGGUUCAGUGGUAGAAUUCUCACUUCCCAUGCAAGAGAUCCGGGUUCGAUUCUCAGUCAAUAUA
Molecule: transfer RNA, 71 nt
Filed under: Loxodonta africana (African savanna elephant)
Lineage: Eukaryota; Metazoa; Chordata; Mammalia; Proboscidea; Elephantidae
Rfam family: tRNA
About the family: Transfer RNA (tRNA) molecules are approximately 80 nucleotides in length. Their secondary structure includes four short double-helical elements and three loops (D, anti-codon, and T loops).
Source: Rfam by way of RNAcentral